This is a long non-coding RNA of Homo sapiens (human), 13250 nucleotides long. RefSeq lists it as uncharacterized. The record is from RefSeq and is a predicted model, not a curated record. NCBI's taxonomy places the organism in Eukaryota, Metazoa, Chordata, Mammalia, Primates, Hominidae. The transcript has 2 exons.
GAUCCGCCCACCUUGGCCUCCCAAAGUGCUGGGAUUACGGGUGUGAGCCGCUGCACUCCACCUCUUUCUCUUCUUAAUGAUGUUGUUGUUGCACAGGUUCCCGAGGGUCUGGCUUCCUUUGAGACAUUGUUAUUAAUCCCUCAGUGUCAUUCCUUUGAGACAUUGUUAUUAAUCCCUCAGUGUCAUUCAUUCAGAUGCCACUGUGAACAUUCUUGUGCAGGCCUGCUUGGGUACAUGUGACAGACUUUCUUUUUUUUUUUUCCUGAGACAGAGUCUGGCUCUGUCGCCCAGGCUGGAGUGCAGUGGUGCCAUCUCGGCUCACUGCAGCCUCCACCUCCUGGGUUAAAGUGAUUCUACUGCCUCAGCAUCCCGAGUAGCUAGGACUACAGGCACCCGCCACCACGCUGAGCCAAUUUUUUGUAUUUUUAAUAGAGACGGGGUUUCACCAUGUUAGCCAGGAUGGUCUCGAUCUCCUGACUUCGUGAUCCACCCCCCUAGGCCUCCCAAAGUGCUGGGAUUACAGGUGUGAGCCACCAUGCCCGGCCGCACAUUUAUAUCUUUAAUUCAUUUGUCUAUUUGAAGUCAACCCUUAGGAGAUAAUACUUUUCACGCAUUAUCUCAGAGAAGAUCAGUCUGCUGAGGACAUAAGUGACAGGUCCAGAUUUUUUUUUUUUUUUUUAAUACUAGAGACAGGGUUUCACCAUGUUGGUCAGGCUGGUCUUGAACUCCUGGCCUCAAGUGAUCUGCCUGCCUCGGCCUCCCAGUGUGCUGGGAUUACAGGCAUGAGGCACCACGCCCACCCUCCAAAUGUUUUUUUGAAUGGGCAAAAUAAUCCACAGUAAAUAUAGAAUGUGCUUUAUGUCUAAAUGCUAAGAACAUAUAGGCAUUAAUGACGUUGAAAACAUUCUUUUCUUAGUACUGUAUUGAUAAAUGUGUGGCUAGCUUUUUGGUGGCAGUAAUAAACAUGAAUAGCAACAAAGCAACAACAAAACUGAGGGCACAUUUGGAAGACAAAGAGAUAUGAAGGACAAUAUGGGAUCUGGUGUUAGUUUUGUUUUGGGUUUUGCCUGCUGCAUGGGUCACAGGAAACAUUUAGUUACAGAACUGGAGACCUAUUAAAAUCCUCUCAUUUGUAGGCCUGUGGUGUGUGUUUCUUAUAGCAGAGCAAUGGCUGCUGUGUGACUGUAAGUUUGGAAUUUAUGGUAAUAGAAGCUUUAAAUAUCCCAAACAUUACAGUAAAGGUGGAAGGAGCCCUUCUUAAAGAAGCAAGGUCAAAUAUUCAUUUUGAAGUUGAAAUGAAUCAACAGGCAGUCUCUGAAGAAUGCCAUUUCCAAGUUCAGAGAAGAUGCAGUUAUGCCAUCAUAACAUCAUAACAGUCUGCUGGUUUCUGCAUGACAUGUGGAUAUAAAACACCAUCUUUUCUAUUGAGAGGCCCUAAUUUAAAGCAAGAAAGUUCAGUGGUUGUGGUGACUUUUUAAAAAGUUGCUUCAAACAUUAUAGGGUGAAGAAUUUUUCUUUCUUGGAGGAUACCAGUUAACCUUAGACCUCUUAGAUUUGUAUUGUUUACAUAUAUCGCUAAUGAAAUAAUUUUUUUCUCACAGUUUAAAGUGAUCUGUGAGCAUGAUUAUCUUCCCUAAAAUAAGUAACACCCAAAAUAAGAAUAUAUGAUGUAAAAAUUUUAAAUGAGUUAAUACCAGCAGCAAAAAUAUUACUUGACAUUCCAUCAUAUUAAUACAUUAAGUUCUAGUUACCAAGAACCCUUUAUAUUUACUCGUUGUUACAUUGUACAAUAUAGUUUAUAAACUGCUUGUUCAUUUAUCAAAUUUCAUUCAACAUUCCCAGAAAUGUCUUGUGCAGUAGGUGGUAUUCAUUUUUAGUGUAUUAGGAAUCUGAGGCUGAGAGAGAUUAUGAUAUUAAUAGUUACAGUUUAUUGAGAACCUAUUAAGUACCUGGCACCUUAACUUGCAUCAUUUCAUUUAAUACUGAAAACCACAUAAUGGGCCGGGCGUAAUGGCUUAUGCCUGUAGUCCCAGAACUUUGAGAGGCUGAGGCUGGUAGAUCGCUUGAGCCCAGAAGUUUGAGACCAACCUGGGCAACAUGGCAAAAUCCUGUCUCUAUAAAAAAUACAAAAUACUAGCUGGGUGUGGUGGUGGCAUGCGCUUCUGGACCCAGCUACUUGGGAGGAUGAUGUGGGAGGAUUACCGGAGCCUGGGAGAUUGAGAUUGCAGUGAUCUGUGAUCACGCCACUGCACUCUAGCCUGGGUGACAGAGCAAGAAGACUUUGUCCAAAAAAAACAAAAAAACAAAACACACACACACACAAACCCACACUAUGAAGUAAGUACUGUUUUCAGCCAUAUUUCCCAGAUGAGGAAACUGAGGUUUAGAGUGAUUAAGUAACUUACCCUAGAUUAUAUUGCAAGUAGCAAUUGUUAUAUGGUAAGUAGCAGAGUAGGCAGAGCCACCACUAGCUAUGAGAGACUUCUGUUUGAAUUAGGAAAGUUACCCCCUGUGGUGAACCAAUGAGGAAGCCAAACUUCCUCUGGCCUGGCACACCACCCGAAGCAGUAACUUGGGGACCUGUGCUUAGAUGCCACUUAUUUCAGCAUCUGUGAGCUGAACAUGGGCAGAAUUUCAGCCUUAUUUUGCUUCCUUGAUGCCUUUGUACUGUGCACAAACUGAGCCACCCUUACCCAAAGGUCUUAAAGCCCAGAUUUCAAUCCAGGUCUAUUUGAGUCCGGAGCUUAUAUUCUGUUUAAUAGCAUGCUGCCAAUUAAUGGCAAAGUUAAGACUUCAGCCAGAUUUUCUGAUCAUCAGUAUUUUCCUCCUUCUAUUAUGUAUCAUGCAGGUUGGUUGAAUUACAGAUGACACUGGAGGCGGGGCAUGCUGACUCACACCUGUAAUCUCAGCACUUUGGGAGGCUAAGGCAGGGGGAUUACUUGAGCCCAGGAGUUUGAGAUGAACCUGGGCAACAUAGACCCUGUCUUUACAAAGAAUUAAAAAAUUAGCCAGGCAUGUUGGCACACACCUGUGGUCCCAGCACUUUGGGAGGCAGAGACAGGGUUUCACCAUGUUGAUCAGGAUGGUCUUGAAGUCCUGACCUCAGGUCAUCCACCUGUCUUAGCCUCCCAAACUGCUGGGAUUACAGGCAUGAGCAGCCCAGGAGGUUGAGGUGGCAGUGAGCCAUGAGUGCAUCACUGCACUCCAGCCUGGGCUUAGCUAGACACUGCCUCAAAAACAACAACAACAAAAAGCCCAACAAAUGACACUCAAGUCCCAUACUGCCCAGUUUGCAGACAUUUUUUGCAGAUGAUGUUAAAGAUUUCUUAGCACUUCUACAGAGUUAUAACCUCACAUAUUUCAUAACAAACUGUGUUUUUAUGUGGCUCAAGAUUUGUAUUGAAUUCCUGGUAUCACUACCUAGUUAGCUGUGUGACCUUGAUCAAGUUAGGAAGGGAAUAUAAUAAGUAUAGUGGUUAAAAGCAUGGACUGUAGUCUCAGACUACCUGGGGUCAAAUUCUAGCUAUUUCUUACUAGAUAUGUGAACCUGAGAUUUUUUUUUUUUUUUUUUUUGAGGCAGAGAUUUGCUCUUGUUGCCUGGGCUAGAGUGCAAUGGUAUGAUCUCAGUCACUGCAACCUCUGCCUCCCGGGUUCAAGCAAUUCUCCUGCCUCAGCCACCCAAGGAGCUGGGAUUACAGGCAUGCACCACCAUGCCCAGCUAGUUUUGUAUUUUUAGUAGAGACGGGGUUUCAGCAUGUGGAUCAGGAUGGUCUUGAAGUCCUGACCUCAGGUGACCCACCCGCCUUGGCCUCCCAAAGUGCUGGGAUUACAGGCAUGAGCCACCCCACCUGGCCAGCUUGGGCAAUUUACUUUAUGUCUUUAAGCCUGGUGUGUAAUGUUGAUGGUAGAGUGGGGAACAAUUAUACCUAUCCAAUGAGUUGUGAGUACUAUAUGAGUUAAAUACAUGAAGCAUUUAGAAUAGUGCCUUGCGCAUAAAUAUAGUAAAUACAUUAAGUACUAUUUAAGUGCUAACUGUUGUUAUUGUUAUUAAUAUUAGAUCACUAUGAGUUUGCACUUGUAGCCUGUAAUUCAAAGCAAUUUGAACGGCGGAAGCAUAAAUAGAUAAAUGAUCAUCUAAAUAUGGCAUCUCUUCAACCCUUGUUGUUGUUGUUGUUUUUGCCAGAUAAGAGUUUUCAAAGGUUGUGCCAGAGUACUUGCUUUAGGGAUAUUAGCCCAAUUGAAACCAUUUUUUUUUUUUUUUCAUUGAGACAGAGUCUCUCUCUCUGUUACCCAGGCUUAGAGUGCAGUGAUAUGAUCAUAGCUCACUGCAGCCUCAAUCUCCCAGGGUCAAGCAGUCCUCCCACCUCCGCCUCCUGAGUAGCUGGGACUACCGGUGUGCACCACCAUACCCAGCUAAUUGUUUUCUUUUACAUGUUUUGUAGAGACAAGGUCUCGCUUUGUUGCCCAAGUGGGUCUCGAACUCCUGGUCUCAAGUGGAUCCACCCACCUCAGCUUCCAAAGUGCUGGGAUUACAGGUGUGAACCACCACACCUGGCUAAUUUUUUGUGUUUUUAUUAGAUACAGGGUUUUGCUGUGUUGCCCAGGCUGGUCUUGAACUCGUGAGCUCAAGCAAUCUUCCUGCCUCAGCCUCCAAAAGUACUGUAUUACAGGUGUGAGCCCGGCCAAAAUCAGUUUUUAAAAGAGGUUUACAUGGCCGUAUGGUAUUCUCUUUCUUUUUUGGAAACAAUACUAUUUGUACCAUGUUGUGUUAUCAAUCUAUGUUUGGAUUGUUAGCAUUUAAGAACUACAUUUUUCAGUAGAUUGCUCUAGGUUAUAGCCACUAACAAUUACUUAUACAUAAAAAUUUUCUUUUGAGUCAUUAGCCAAUUUGGGGGGCCUCUCAGGAGAAACUGCAUAAUUCACUGGGUGAAUGCAAGUUCAUUGCUCUUGGAGGCUGUGAUAGCAUAAUCAUUGCUUGCUGUAUUCAUGGUCAGUACACCUUCUGAUUUGUUUUUAGUAGUAGUUUUGCCAUAUUCAAAGAAGAGCUCAAUCUGAGGAGACUCCUUGAUUUGACCUUACUUUGGCAUAGCUAGCAUAUUACCUUAAGUUAGUGUUUGCCAUCUAUUUUGUUCCCUGACAUUCUCUGUUGACGUUUUAUGCCCCGCCCCCCGUGUCCAGCUCCCCUCCUCACAAUCCCUGCCCCCUGCUGCCAUCUUUAGCACUGGAAAGUUAAGAGUUUUGAUCUCAGAGUUCAUCAACUCAAGCUUUUGCUUUUUAUUUGUAAAAGAACCAUGUGAAGCUGGGCUCAGUGGCAUACACCUGUAGUCCCAGGUACUUGGGAGGCUGAGGCAGGAGGAUUAUUCGAACUCAGGAGUAUGGGUCCAGCCUGGAUAACGUAAUGAGACCUCCAUCUUGAAAAAGGAAAAAAAAAAAAAAGAAAAGAACCAUACGAAAGUACAUAAGUGUAUGAAAAAGCUACUUAACAUUUCAAAAAGCAGUAAAUGGCACAUUGUCAAGUGAGUGGUUUUAUCAGUCAGGGUCUCACAAGGAAAACAGAAACCAUUUCAGGCAUUUACAACAGAAGGAAUUCAAUGAGGGAAAAUUAUAAUGCAGAUAGUGAAAGAGCUGAGAGCCAAAUAGGAGAUGGUGAGGUAAUGUAGAGAUUAGCAACGGGAAUCACCACCACCACCUCCUCCAGCUGAAGAAACAAGGGAGAUGUGACAUUAUUGUAUAAGGAGUACAAACAAUAUUGUUUCAGGGAAAAACAUGAAAAAGGAAAAUAUAAUUUGGGACAAGUACAGUGUGCUUCAUCUCCUUCUUCCUCCUACUUCCCCAACCCCCACCCAAAGAACAUACAGAAAGCUCUGUAAAAAUUGCUAGUUUUUGAAUGGAAGCUUUUUACUUUUUCUAAGAGGUGCGAGCCUGUGUGUCAGUGCUAAAAUAUAAAAGUAGUUUUUUAAAAGGCCAUAAAAAUUGGAGUAACAUCACCUAGUUCAUAAUAAUUUUUUUUUAAUCUCUAAAGAGGGAAAGAAUUUAUGCCUAGCUAGCUGAAGUGGUCUGAAGAGAUAAUUUGAAGAGUUAUUUGAUAAUAUAAGCCAGUGUUUUUCCCCAACUAAAUAAUUCUGUCCCCCUCCCCCAUGAGAAUGUUCUUUGAAGCAAUUGUCAGAGAAGAAAUAUAAUUUUUCCUUAACCCUCAUAAGUUCAUAGUUGGGGACAGACCUUUGUGACAAAUGACAGAUUAACAAGCGAAAAACAAGCAGGUGUAUAUUCACGUGUGCAGUGCACAUGAUGCAGGAGAAACCUCAGUGAGAAGUAAUUCAAAGCAGUGGCUUAGAACACUUGCCUAUGUAGCAUCUUCAACAAAGAGCAAUGAAUUUUCCAGAAGUGACAAGACAAAGAAAAGCAGGUUAACACUUCUAAAGGUGGGGAACUAUGGGAAGGAAAAGUAAAUAUGUGGCAGUAAACUAGUGGAGUAAGAUUUGUGAUCCCUCUGGUGCCAUAUCUGAGUUGAUAAGUUGUCUCCAGUAAAGGAGAAUUUAUAUCUUUAGGUAGAAAAGCAGGAGAGGAGGAUAGAAAGAGCUCUUCCUUUAUUCAUUAAUUUUUCUCAACUCCCUCUUCACAGAUUUGGUUAAGAGAGUCUAAAACUAUGUUGUCCAGGUUGGCCUCAAACACCUGAGCUCGAGUGAUCUCUCAUCUCAGUCUCCCGAGUAGCUGGUACUACAGCCACAUGCCAUUGCACCUGCUUCUUCGGUUUAAAAUAUUUAUGUCAAAGAGGAAUAUUUUGGGGUGACAUAUUCUGGCUUCCUUUACAGCCCUCUGUGCUAUAUCAUGUCCACAGAUACAGUUGUGUAUUGGUACACAGAGAGACGGUGUGUAAAAUCUCAGAGAAUUGAUGGUGUAUGUAUGAAACCUCAGAGAAACUGCCACCCAGAGAAAGGGAAAUAGUUACUAAGGCAGUCUAUUUCUUUUUUCUGAAAGUAUGAAUAUGCAACUUUCAGUUACUAGAAUUAAUUUACUUCAGGCUGCUUGUGGGUGGAUUAGAUUAAUUGAUGAGUAUUGGUCAAGAAAUAAACCAAUGCUUUUGCUGAAUGGGCCAAUUUUUUUGGCUUUCCCUAAAAGCAGAAAUCACAGAAUCAUAAAGGUAAUUAAACCAUGGUUUUCAUGGCUGUUUAAUCUAUUUUCUUGACUUUGAGAAAUUUAGUGUUUGAGGCUUUUAAAAAAUCUCUCUUUUCCGUAAUAUUACUUAAAUUUUCUAUUGGAAACACAAUUUUAAGACAGAAUUAAUAAGUAGUGUGGAAUAAGACAAUGAUAAUACACUUAGAAUAAGGUUUGAAAAAUGCAGUAUUAUUUAAUGGAAUGAGCUUCAAGAUAAAAAGGCUCUAGUUCUGUUUGUAGCUCUGUACCUGUUUAGUUGUAUUAUUAAGGUUUGUUGCUGAACCUCUUUAUGUCUGUUCCGCAAGUCUGCAUGUAGGGUAAUAGUACUUCUGUUCAUCUGUAGCAGGACGAGCCGCAGACAAAACUCCUCAAACACCAACUUAAAGAGGGAAGGGGUUUAUUCGGCCAGGGUUAUCGGCAAGACUCCUGUCUCGAGAGCCUAGCCCCCGAGUGAGCAAUUCCUGUCCCUUUUAAGGGCUCACAACUCUAAGGGGGUGCGUGUGAGAGGGUCGUGAUUGAUUGAGCAAGCAGGGGGUACAUGACUGGGGGCUGCAUGCACUGGUAAUUAGAUCGGAACAAAACAGGAUAGGGAUUUUCACAGUGCUUUUCUAUACAAUGUCUGUAAUCUAUAGAUAACAUAACCGAUUAGGUCGGGGUCAGUCUUUAACUACCAGGCCCAGGGUGUGGCACCAGGCUGUCUGCUUGUGGAUUUCAUUUCUGCCUUUUAGUUUUUACUUUUUCUUUCUUUGGAGGCAGAAAUUGGGCAUAAGACAAUAUGAGGGGUGGUCUCCUCCCUUAAUCUUAUAAACUUAGCAUGAAGUUUAAAUUAAGUCUAUGAAAUUUGUUUUAAAAUAAAAACUCUCAGUACAAAAAUAAAUACUCUUACAGACUGAAUGUUUCUUCCCCCCAAAUUGAUACUACAAAUUUACAUAUUAUAGGGUUGAAGCCUAACCCUCAAUGUGACUAUUUGGAGAUAGUGGCCUGGGAGGAAGUGACAGAGGUUAAAUGAAGUCAUAAGGGUGGACCCCUAAUCCUAUAGGGCUGGUGCCUGUUUAAGAAGAAGACAUGCCAGAGCUCUUUCUCUCCACCGUGUGAGAAUACAGUGUGAAGGUAGCUGCCUGCAAGCCAAGAAGAGAGCCCUCACCAGAAACCAAUCCUUGAUUUGGAGCUUCUAGCCUCUAGAACUGUGAGAAAAUAAAUUUCUGUUGUUGAAGCCAUCCACUCUUUGAUAUUUUGACAGCCUGAGCAGACUGAGAUACUCCUGAUGCUACAUUAUUUUUAAAUUCUGUAAAACUUUAAAUUUUUUUUUUUUUUGAGACAGAGUCUAGCUCUUUUGCCUGGGCUAGAGUGUAGUUGCGUGAUCACAGCUCACCGUAGCCUCGACCUUUUGUAUUCAAGUGAUCUUCCUACCUCAGCCUCCUGAGUAGCAAGGACCACAGGCAUAUACCAUGAUGCCGGGCUAAUUUAUUUUAUUUUAUUUUUGGUGGAGACAAUGUCUCACUAUAUUGCUCAGGCUGCUCUUGAAGUCCUGGGCUCAAGCGAUCCUCCCAUCUCAGCCUCUCAAAGUAUGGGGAUUACAGGUGUGAGCCACCUCACCCAGCCAAAAUUUUGAAAUCUUUAUUCAAGAAAUGGUUCCCUGAAAAACCAGGUUAUAAUGCUCAAAAGUCACACUUUAAGAGAAAGGAAUAUUUAGUGAGCACUUAACACCAGGGCUUGUUUUAGAUUUAUUUAAAAAUAUAUUUUAUAAUUUGGUCCUCAAAAAACCCUACGUCAUAAAUGUUUUGGUUUUCUUUUGUUUUUAGAGAGGGUCUCACCCCGUCACCCAGGCUGAAGUGCGGUGGCAUGAUCUUGGCUCACUGCAGCCUCAAACUCCUGGGCUCAAGCAAUCCUUCUUUCUCAGCAUCCUGAAUAGCUAGUACUACAGGUCAGAAAUCUGACAGAGGUCCCACUGGGCUAAAAUCAACGUGUCUUCAGGGAUGUGUUCCUUUCUGGACCUGUGAGAGCAGAAUCUGUUUCCUUGCCUUUUCUGGUUUCUGGAGACUACCCACAUUUCCUUGGUUCAUGAUUUUUUUCUCCAUCUUCAAAGCUAGUGUUUUCUGUUCCUUUCAGGCUGCCAUCUCUCUGGUUCUCUGGAGCUGGAACAGGUUUUCUGAUUUUAAUUGAUUAAAUAACUGUGAUUAGAUUGUGCCCACCUGGAUAAUCCUGGGUGCAAACUUUUUCAUUUUUACAUCAAAGUCCUUAGCCACAUCUGUAAAGUUCCUUUUGCCACGUAAGGUAACAUAUUCACUAAUUUUGAGGAUUAGGGCAUGGACACAUUUUGGGGUCCUUAUUUCACCUACCAUACUAAGGAAAUAUCAAAGAGUCUGGCACCUAACCCAGUUUAGGAGCCCAGGAAAAGCUUCGAGGAGCAGAUCAGCUGGGUCUCAAACUGGGUGAAGCGGGAGUAUGAGUGGCUGCUGGCUGGGUGUCAAAUGAGUGAGGGAAAGGCAUUUGAGCUAAGGGGAGCUACAUGAGUAUAUAUAGAGGUGUGAAAAAGAAUGGGUUUUAACAUUAAUUUUUAUUUUUUAAAGAAUCACAAAUCAGUAAAAAUGUAGUAUGAAAUGGUAGCUUGGGGAUGAGUAGGGAUGGAGAGAAAGGUUUGAUUAUGGUGGGACUUUGCAUACUGUGCUUUACAGCUUCAGUUUAUCCUGUAGACAGUGGCAUGACAUUGAAGGAUUUGAAACUGGCGAGUGACUUGAUUAGAUUUCACUUUAGGUAGAUCAUAUUCAGCUGUCUGGAGGGGGAAUAGGCUGGCGGUAAAGAGACUGAAAAGGCUUUUACUAUAUAGUUCAGGUAUCUUUAUAUAUAAUUCAGCUGAUUAAGUUUUUGGCUUAGGUGACUGAGUCAUACCAUCAGAGAUAGGAAAAUACAGAAAGAAAGCUAUGAGAGGUGUAAGGUAAUAUUAAUACUCUCCCCUUCACACUCCCCUUCCACACACACACACGCAUGUGCUCAACCAAAGAAUGAACCUUGAUUAAAGUCAGCCUAAAUUUCUAUUUUUUUUCUCUAAAAGUAGCCAUUUACCAUCAGUAAAUAAGCAGAACAGUUUAGGUUGAACUGUUAUAUUUUCCCUUCUUAGGAGCUGACUUUAUUUCCUUUAGCAUCCCCUUCACAUUUACAUAAUGUUGACUGGACACAUGUUUUGUCUUUCCUUGUCCUGUGGCUUUCAGUUCCACUAAAUGAUUUAAGAAAUUAAGGCAUUGUACAAGUCCAUUCCAGUUUACUUUCUUCUUCAUUUUGCUGUGGUGAUUGAGCCAGUUUCUGGCUUUCCAAAUAGCCCAUUAUUCAAUUUAAUGGACAGUGUAAUCUUGUCUGCAGAAGGAACUUGUUAUUUGAAGAUAUCAGAAACAUUCCAGGGACAUAGUUACUGGUUGGGAGUGGAAUUUGUGUGUAGACCUGGUAUUAAAAAAACCUUGUGGUUUUGCAGCAUUCUAAUGUAUUGCAUACCUAGGAAUUCUAGCUAUUUUGAAAGAUGAUUCUGUGGUUGGUCCAGUAGCUAAAAGGUAACAUAACAUUUGAGCACAUGUGCCCAAAUAUGUUGUUUACCAGAUGAAUUAAGAGUUCUUACAUUACACUGCUAAAACUAUAAAAUGUUUAAAUGGUGAUUAUACUUUUUCAUUGGGAAGACUAUGCAGUAGGGAAGAAUUACAAUUUGGAUUUAAAGUAUUACAUUCCCCUAAACAGAUUUGGGGUUAUAAUUUUAAUAUUUCUAAUUGAGAUAUGGGCUGCAGUCUACUCAGAGUAACUAAGAAAUGUAAUUGCCAUGAAGUUCUGAGUAGAUGUAUAUGACUUUUGGCUAUAUUAAGAGAAUAGGAUUUAUCAGGGAAUGGUCUGAAUUUCUAUAGCACAAGUUAACUGUAAAUACUUUGAGAAAGCCACUAAAUAGAUUCAUUAAUGACCACAUAUUUAUAGAACAGGAAAACAUACGACUUAUAUUGAUGUGAUUUUUGCCCUUAUAAAGAAUUAAAUAUUAGAGGGCCGGGAGUAAUGGCUUGUGCCUGUAAUCUCAGCACUUUGGGAGGCCGAGGUGGGCAGAUCGCUUGAGCCCAGGAGUUCAAGAACAUCUUGGGCAACAUGGUGAACCCCAUCUCUUAAAAAAAAAAAAAAAAAAAGAGAGAGUUAGGGCAUGUAGAACAAGAGUUUUAAUGAAAAGAUUUUUGUGUUUUGGCCCUUAACCUCGGUCUAUAAAUUCAGUUGUUGAUAGCAUAGUGCAGUUAAUUUACAACUAUUUGAUUGUUUAGAAAUGUAUUAAUUAAAAUAGUUUUGCCCAUAAAAUGUUGCAAAAUCUAUAAAUGGUUUCGUAAGAAGUACUAUAAAAGAGGAGAUGAUAGAAGAGGGUAAUGAGUAGAAGGGAAAGGUUUUAUUAGCCUUUUGUUCUUCUUUAUGCUACCUCCUUCUAUAAAGUUGUUAUUUCCUAGGUCAUGUUUUAUAUUUCAAAGAUUAUUAUUUUAAUAAUCUGUAGGGCUUUCUAUUAUAGAUAUUAUUAAGGCAAAUACCUCCAGGAAGAAUAAGCAAUAAGUCUGGGCAUGGUGACUCACACUUGUAUUCCCAGCAUUUUGGAAGGCAAAGGCAGGAAGAUAGCUUGUGCCCAGGAGUUCAAGACUAGCCUGGAUAACAUAGCAAGACUCCAUCUAUACAAAAAAUAAGAAAUAUAGCCAGGCAUGGUGGCACGUAUCUCUGGUGCCAGCUACUCCAGAGGCUGAGGCAGGAGGAUUGCUUAAGCCCAAUAUGUUGAUGCUGCAGUGAGUUAUGAUCUACACUCUAGCCUGGGUAACAAAGCCAGACGCUGUCUCAAAAAAAAAAAAAAAAAAAAAAGAAAGAAACUCGACAGAAUAAAAACAAUUCAGAUGACUAUUUUCUUUUAUUUUAUUUUCUUUUUCUUUUUUUUGAGUCAGAAUCUUGCUCCCAGGCUGGAAGACAUGGAGUGCAAUGGCGAGAUCAUAACUCACUGCAGCCUUGACCUCCUAGGCUCCACUGAUCUUCUUGACUCAGCCUCUUGAGUAGCUGGGACUACAGGCAUGUGCCACCACACCCAGCUAAUUUUUAAAUUUUUUGUAGAGAUGUGGGGGUCUCACUGUUUUGCGGGCUAGUCUUGAACACCUGGCCUCAAGCAGUCCUCUCACCAUGGCCUUCCACAGUGCUGGGAUUGCAGGCGUGAGCCACCAUGACUGACUGUUUUUCAUUUCUUGACAUUCAUAUCAAUUGGAAUAAAGUUAAGAGAAAGUUGCAAAUUUCAAGUACCUUUUGUGUGGCUCUUUUUUCUUGUCUUUCUUUUUAUAGUAUAAGUAUGACAAGACUAGAUUUUCUUGAAUCUCAGAUUAAACCCAACGUGUCUUAAUUAGCAUUAGCAAUUUAUGGCAAAAGUCAAGGUUUGCCACAGUCUCUGCAGUUCAGAUAUCAGCUUUUCUUUUAAUGGCCUUUAUAUAUUGCUAAGUACAAAAUAUGCAAGAAAAAGACAACCUAUGUUUAUUCAUUACACAUAGAUCAUUGAAGUCAUGAAUUAGAAAUCUGUACCUUAGAGCUGCUUGGACUACUAGAACCCUUGAAUAUUUUUCAAUUUUACCUUUAACUAAAAAAAAUUCCUUUCUCAUCUGUACUUUAGGAGAUUGCAGAAUCUUGUGGCGAGGGUAUUAAAACUGACCAUUCAAAGUCAUAGCCCAUUUCUUGGUACUUGCAUUUCUCUCUGUGUAAAAUUGGUACUUCAUAGCCUUCUGAUCCUGUAUUUCUGAUACUUAUUGAUCAAUUAUGAUUGAAAGCCAGGUUGUUUAACGCUCUGUCAGUCUUCAAAUGAACUUUUAUUUAUUAAACUGUUUAUUCCUUCUGAUUUAAAUAAAUUUCAUUUCCCAAAGAUGAGUAGGUAUGAAAAAUAAUACUCAGAAGAGAUUGUUCUUGUGGGGAGAACUGCUUCUACAGGAUCUAGCUUUGAUUUUGUAUCUUUCAAUCUUUUUAAAAUCAACUUUAACGAAUUUAAACCUAUUUUAAGUGUACAAGUAAUAAGUUUGACAAUUGUAUGUGACUUCUACCACAAUAAAAUAUAGAACAUUUUUAUCAUUCUA